This 277-nucleotide ribosomal RNA is filed under the name uncultured eukaryote. RNAcentral's name for it is "partial 18S ribosomal RNA". It matches the Rfam family "Eukaryotic small subunit ribosomal RNA", at positions 21 to 236 of the family's 1831-position model. The record is from RNAcentral.
UAGUCAUAUGCUUGUCUCAAAGAUUAAGCCAUGCACGUCCAAGUAUGAACGAGAUCAUACAGUGAGACUGCGGAUGGCUCAUUAAAUCAGUUAUAGUUUAUUUGAUGGUUCCUUGCGCCUCGCGCUACUCGGAUAACCGUAGUAAUCCUAGAGCUAAUACGUGCGUACGGCCCCGACUAGGGGGGGGCGUUGGACGGCUUCGCAAGGAGUCGUACGGCGUCCCACCUACCCCUCGGAAGGGGCGUAUUUAUUAGAUAAAGAACCGACGCGGGGCAUU